UGUGUCUAUAGUCAAAUAUCCCCCACACUGGGUGAGUUUAAUAACAGAACUCCACUUAGUGUUUCCCAGUUCUGGAGACCAGAAGCCUGAGAUCAAGGCUUGGCUCCUUCUGAGGUCUGUGAAGAGUGAUCCUUCUGUGUCUCCCCUCAGCUCCUGAGAGUUUGUGGGUGAUCCUCAGCAACCUGGCCUUGCGAGUCUAUCAAUCUAUGCUUCACCUGGUAUCUCUGCAUGCAGGUCUGUGGCUCCAUUUUGCAUUUUUAUAAUGACUUCAUGGGUUGGAGGCAUAGCCUGCUCCAGUAUUAUGUUAUCAUAACUAAUUAUAUAUCAUAACUAAUGGAGGCAGAGGCCUCCAUUUCAGGUACUGGGAAUUAGGACUCCAACUCUUGAGUUUGGGUUUGGGGUAUACAAUUCAGCCCAUAACCCAGCAAGAGAUGGGCUUAUCUGAUGGACAGAGCCACUAUACCUUCAAGACCAGCAUGAGGUGAGUCCUCUAAUCUCUGUUCAAAACCAUUCCAACCCAAGAAGAGAAAGGCCCCAGUGAGCACAUCUGUAGUGAAGUCCCAAACUCCUCUUCCUCCCGAGUCCUGAAACUAACUUAAUUUUCUUUAACUGCUCCCAUUCUGUUUACAUCUCAUUUCCAGUUGCCAGUUGGUAUAUUCUCAUUGAUAAUGACCAAUGAGACUAAAUACACCAUUAAUAGAUGUGAUAUUUCAUUGUUCAAGUCUGACUGAGAAGAAUAUCUGGAGGAAAUUAAAGAACUGGUGAUUCAGUGAAGGUUAAAACAGCACUCAGAAUGUGACACCAGAAGAGUCUGUGGAGGCUCUGAGGGGCAGCGCUCUGAUUUUGUGCUUUUUCCUGAAUGUGAAAAAUUUUCUCUUGCCGCAUCCUAAUGCUGUGUUUUCCAACCUUAGCAUUGCUGUCUUUCUAGGCCGAACAGCUUUUUUUCUUUUUUUCUGGGAUCUACCCUGUGUACUUAGCAGCAGCCUGCCCUCUUCACACUGGAAGGCAGUGUGUUUCAGGGCAUUGCCAAAUGUCCCCCAGGGGAUGAAAUCACCCCCAGUUGGGAACCAGUGUACUGAAGUAUAUGCAAAAGUACUUUGGAACUCUACAGUGCAAUGCAGAUGUGUGGAAUUAGCUCCUGUAUUACUUCCAAAGGGGAGCGUUUUGUGGACAUGGCAAAAUAGGGUCAGUUAUUUAAUGGCUGAGUCAGAUCACAGCGCAGAUCCGUCCUAGCCUGAUGAUCCUGGGAUUACACUACAACUGCCUCAGGCUCAUAUUCCAAAUGGCUUUAACGAUUGCUUUGGCUAGGAAAGGGUGCUGUCCCUGUCACCACUAGAGGACAGAGCUGAGAGGGAGAGAGGAGAGCUGUUCCUGUGCAGAUGGAGAGCCCUCACUGCCUUGUGUGUGAAUGCUACGGGGCUUGUUUGCACACGGCCCUGUGAAAACAAGCGUAAAGGGUGAGCAAUGGGUGAUGCUUUGUCCAUCCAUCCUGAUGCAGCUUUCCAGGUUGGAUACCCGAUCUGAAGAGCCCUGGCAAAGCUGUUUUAUCAAAGGCUUUCUCCUCCCCACAUGCAUGGAGCUCCCAUGUGCUCUGUGUUUGUCCAUUCAGCCACAACAAAGGAAGCUUCCAUCAGGUCCGGCACUGUCUCUUCCUCCGCUGUCAGAUGUCUGCACCAGCCUGAGAUGACCUUCUUUGUGUGUUGGCGGAGACAGGAAGGCCUGGGGAUGUUUGGUAACUGCACAGAAGCACCAAGGACUCCUGACCACAGUGACACUGGGCUUGAGCACUGGGGGUAGAGGGGCACCAGCAGCCUGCCACGCAAAACGAGGCCACUCAGUAAGGGUCUCUCACAUGAGCCCUAAGCAAAUAGAGUCAAUAAUGGUGGCUCUUCUCUUUCUUCAUUCAAGAAUAAACAGCAGGGGGCUGGGGAUUUAGCUCAGCGGCAUAAGCACCUGCCUUGUAAGCAGGCAGUCGUGAGUUCGAUCCCCGGUACCGAUAAAAAGGAAAAAGACAAAAAAAAAAAAAAAAAAAAAAAAAAAAGAAUAAACAGAAAAAAAAAUCAGGUGUUGGUGUAGAAGAGUCCACAGCAGCCAGUUCCUGAUAGUUCCUGAUGGUGACUAGUCUCUCUCUCUCUCUCUCUCUCUCUCUCUCUCUCUUUCUCUCUCUCUCUCUUUCUCUCUCUCUCUCUCUCUGUCUCUCUCUCUGACCUCUCAUCUUCAACAUAACAGACUGAACAGUCCACAUACUGGGAAAUAUAGAAGGGUGUUGUUUCCACAGUCUGGACCCUUGGAAGGAUUUCUUUUAGAGCUCUUCCUCCAACCCUUUAAGGAGGGUUGGAGGGUUGGAGGGUUGGAGGGUUCCAAUCAGAUUGUGGUGCAAAGGAUAAGACGCUGACAGUAUCCCCAUCAGGACCACCCAACACCUCCCUUGAAAAGGGGAGGGAGGGUCUUGCUGUGGUAGCUGCGCCCUGUCCAUCAUGGCCAGAUCAAGGGCACCAGUAGCCGUGGGGAGUGAACCACUGUUGACAAACUCAGCUUUUGACCAUGGUCCUGCUCCUGGACUCCCAGAAGUGGAUGUGGUGUAUAAAAUAAGGAAAAGGCACACUGCCCCAGAAAGAACGAAAGAGUCAGGGCCAAGCUUCCGCUCGUUUGAAGCCACUCUUCCAAAAGUAUGAAAGAAUGGCUGGAACAGUUUCUACUGUGCUGUAUGCGGCUCUGCUAGCGCCCCCUACUGAGCCUUUUCCUCCUUUGUCUCCUUUAAGUAAGGUUUGUGCUUCAAGGUGUCAAGUUCCCGUUUUUUAAGGGUAUUUGUCUUUGUAAUUCGGGAAAUAGAUUUAUUCUUUUGUGACCCCAGAUACCCUUCCUAUGUUUAUUCAUUUUGUUUUCUUCAAUUUCAAUCUCCUGAUCUUUGUUGGGAGCCAAGUGGCUUUUUAUUUCUAUGGAAAUAAAUGAUCUUUUUACCCAUGGAAACCUUAGUCAUCCUGCCUCCUCCUUUAAAAACUCUCUUCUGUUGAGAAAGUGCCAAAAUCAAGGGUGCACGCUGCUCGAUUGUUCCUCUAGGGAACACUCUCAGGACUACUUUGUGAAACCAUCAUUUCUUUAAAUUGAAGCAUGAUACUUUGCAGGCUGCGAUUGUAAGUACAAUGAAGGCCUAAUGGAUCACUAACCACAUGGCACAGCCCUCUCUGAGAUUUCCUCUACAGUGGUAUUGAAGCCAAUGAAUGAGUUUCAUCCUUCAGUGGCAAUGGGGAGAAGCAGAGCUGAGUGGACUUUUAGAUAAAUAUUAACAGCAACCGCUCAGACAUGAAAGGCAAGAAAUAAAACUCAAGUUCUUGUCUCUGCUAACACUUACAUUAUGUCCAAUUAAAAAUCCAUUCUCAUUUUUAAAGUGAAUACAUUAAUCUCCUAAGGAAUGAAAGGAGGUGUCAUGAACGUAGGGAGGGGAAUGAUUCACUGCUCACUUCCCUUAACCCUGAAGAGCUGGAUUCAGAAAAUCAGUCAGUCAUUUCCUGGGUGUCCCUAAAGCAAUGCCACGAUGGUGGAGACACCUCAGAGACACCCCCAGGGUGAGAUUGUUUCCACUUAAUUGUGGGUGGAGCCUAUGACUCCCCUAACCA
Cavia porcellus (domestic guinea pig) is the source of this 3617-nucleotide long non-coding RNA. RefSeq lists it as uncharacterized. The transcript is spliced from 3 exons. The record is from RefSeq and is a predicted model, not a curated record. NCBI's taxonomy places the organism in Eukaryota, Metazoa, Chordata, Mammalia, Rodentia, Caviidae.